UGCAAUGAUGAGUAAAACUAUAAUCUCGUUAAUCCGAUAUAUUAUUCUGUGAGGAUAAACUCUCUAAUCCAUUCUUUAUAGAGUUUCUGAGC
Erigeron canadensis is the source of this 92-nucleotide small nucleolar RNA. RefSeq annotates it as small nucleolar RNA U30. The transcript has a single exon. The record is from RefSeq and is a predicted model, not a curated record. NCBI's taxonomy places the organism in Eukaryota, Viridiplantae, Streptophyta, Magnoliopsida, Asterales, Asteraceae.